This 253-nucleotide ribosomal RNA is filed under the name uncultured bacterium. RNAcentral describes it as "partial 16S ribosomal RNA". It matches the Rfam family "Bacterial small subunit ribosomal RNA", at positions 524 to 776 of the family's 1533-position model. The record is from RNAcentral.
UACAGAGGUCCCAAGCGUUGUUCGGAUUCACUGGGCGUAAAGGGUGCGUAGGUGGUUGGGUAAGUCUGAUGUGAAAUCUCCGGGCUCAACCCGGAAAUGGCAUUGGAUACUAUUCGGCUAGAGGUUUGGAGGGGGGACUGGAAUUCUCGGUGUAGCAGUGAAAUGCGUAGAUAUCGAGAGGAACACCAGUGGCGAAGGCGAGUCCCUGGACAACACCUGACACUGAGGUGCGAAAGCGUGGGGAGCAAACAGG